Molecule: ribosomal RNA, 324 nt
Filed under: Triticum aestivum (bread wheat)
Lineage: Eukaryota; Viridiplantae; Streptophyta; Magnoliopsida; Poales; Poaceae
Description: partial small subunit ribosomal RNA
Source: RNAcentral
AUGCUUCGGCACCUCUUCCUAUGGGUAACACAACACAAGGCCAUACUAACUGCACUAAGCGGAUGUCGCCUACGAGCAACGACGAUGAGGUUGCAACUCCUAGGGAUCCGCCAAAGCCAACUACAAAAGGGAGGGCAAGGAGUAGACGCUACCAUUCAGCUCUUGAACUGCACCCUAAAAGGAAAAACAGGUGCAGCUACUGCAACUCAGAUAACCACAAUGCUACUAGCUGCCCUGCAAAGUUGGCGUGACAACUUGGUGACAUAUAAGCAAUAUAUAAAAUGGGGGGAGCAUCAAAAAAAAGUUCUGGCUUUGCACUGUUAG